UUGACUUCGGAAGCAGACGUU
This 21-nucleotide non-coding RNA is filed under the name Caenorhabditis elegans. The record is from RNAcentral. Lineage: Eukaryota; Metazoa; Nematoda; Chromadorea; Rhabditida; Rhabditidae.